AUGAAACCACCUCACCAUCUUCCUCUUCUUCUCCAGAAUUACCCCCCUACUACAACAUUUCAUCAUACAUAGAACACUCUGACCCCUCAUCUCCCACUCUAGCCCAACUCCAAGCUCAAACUCUGGCCUCACAUUAGCCAACACAACCCACACCUGAACCAGAAAUUACCUCCUCACCCACAGAACAACCAAACCCAACAACAUCUGAUCCUCAACCUUCUGAAACAACU
RNAcentral lists this long non-coding RNA (230 nucleotides) under Lathyrus oleraceus (garden pea). Its description in RNAcentral is "Pisum sativum (pea) long non-coding RNA (PSAT_LNC008851)". The record is from RNAcentral. Lineage: Eukaryota; Viridiplantae; Streptophyta; Magnoliopsida; Fabales; Fabaceae.